UCACCUAAUGUUUACACAUCCAAAUACUUGCUAUUCAUUAUGAAAUUCAUCGCAAGCUUUGUUAUAUUUUUUCUUGUUUAUGUGCCAAACUGUUCGAUAGCUCAAUAUGAAUUCCUGAAGAUUGUGGAACAGUGGCGUCCAGCGACAUGUCUCCAAAAAAACAUCAAAUGUGCCCGAAAUCCAAAUAAUUUUACAUUGCACGGGCUUUGGCCCAGCAACAGCAGCAGUGGCAGCAGUAGCAGUGAUCCUAUUCGCUGCACCCAUACCCCAUUUAAAAGUAGUUCGAUCCAAACUUUAUUUCCCAGAAUCAAUAAUUCAUGGCCAGAUGUGAUCAGAGGAAACGAAGAGAUUUUUUGGAAACAUGUCGCUGGACGCCACUGUUCCACAAUCUUCAGGAAUUCAUAUUGAGCUAUCGAACAGUUUGGCACAUAAACAAGAAAAAAUAUAACCACAUCGUCGUUGGUUCAUCUUUUUUUCCUUUUGCUUGUUUCUUUCACUUUUUAUUUUCUUCUUACAGUAAAAAUUGAAAUUUAGUUGAUUUGUGAAAUUGUGUGAAACUUUAUUCCAUGUUUUAAAAAACGCACGAAAACCACCACUAUUCUCAUCGCCUCUUCAAUUAGCGCCAACGACAUUGCCACCGUGCGUAGCACCUCCCACUACCCCAUCACACUCUGGCAACCCACGAGACACCAUUGGCCUCUCCUUCCACCUCCCUCCACCGGCCCACCGCUUAAAGCCAACACCUCCACUUCGCUGCAAUAACCUCUACCACCGUUAAAAAAUCUCGACCACUACCUUGCUUCUCUUUCCAUCGGUAUGUUUUAUUUAACCUUCCAUUAAUGUUGAGAUUGUGUGUUUGUUGUGAUUUGAGAAAUAGUUUGAUUUGAUAUUGAAGAAAAUGUAUAAGGGAUUUGAAGAAAAAAAGAUGAAGAAGACAUUUUGUUUUGCUCUGUUUGUGCGUCGCGUGAGAGAAAUAGGGAUUAUGUUGCUUUUCUGCUUUUACUCGUUACAAAGACAUGACCUUAUUA
Lathyrus oleraceus (garden pea) is the source of this 1028-nucleotide long non-coding RNA. RefSeq lists it as uncharacterized. The record is from RefSeq and is a predicted model, not a curated record. The transcript is spliced from 2 exons. NCBI's taxonomy places the organism in Eukaryota, Viridiplantae, Streptophyta, Magnoliopsida, Fabales, Fabaceae.